AUAUUGGUUUUGCCUGAAUCAAAACGGAAAUGAAACGUACUGCUGUGAAUGCAGUUCAAGGCCCAUAUAUUAUCGCAGGUAGUGGGGAAAUGGCGUUGUCCGUGUACUUAAAGAAAAGCUUGCUGGAGAAGAUCGCAAAAGCCAUGGCUUUGGUCCGUGAGGUUAUCAUCGGAAAUGCCGCUUCAUGCCAUGGGGCGGUGGUGAUGUUCCCACAAUGGCAGCCUCCUUCCCCUGUGAACAAGCUGCCAAUCGUUGGAAGUUACCUGCUCUUGAGGGACGAGGUGAUUUUUAAAGAGGCAACGAAAAAAGCCGUGAUGCUCCCAUACCAUCUGGAAAAGGAAUUUUCCAAGGUACAAACCAGGAAAGGCCAUGAAUNGUGUUGGUAGACCAGCUGGUCCAAGCUGGAAACGGACAGAACAAUCUCAGGAGCUAAAGACAGAGGAAGGUGGAGGAGGAUUUGUACCCGGUGCAUCAAACCCUUGGAUCAAGAAGGCAAUGCUUUGCUAUGGGAAAGAAGGGCCCCCUCCAUCAGAGCUUGUCUUCAUCUUCAGUCACUCCAUCAUGCUUCAGGAGAGAAUGAGACAGUUCCAAUUCCUGGAAAGCUCAACGAAUGAGCGCCCCAGCUGCCUCCAGAAUUUGUCAGAGAUGUUAUGGGUGCCGAUUCUGACCAUUCUUCAAAGCAGCAAGCUAGCGAAGAGGACGAUGACGGUGCCUCUGAGGAGGAGAAGGAUGACGCAGAAGAGCCCAGCUUUAUCACGGAGAGAUGAUGGAGUAACUUUGUGGCCGGUGUCCAUGUGUGUAUUUGCUGCCAAGGAGCCUGGAACCCGUGCUGAGCAGGUUCCUUUUUGCUGCUUUGGACCUUCAUCGUGGCAGNGUGUGGCCAUAACCAUAUGAGUCAGGGCCGGAGCCAAGUCGGACAAGAGUUUCUUUUCAGCUUACUGCUACUGGGAUUCUGGAAAAAAAAAAGAAUGUCACGGUGCCCAUCUUGUUCUUCUUACCAUUGCUCCGAGGUGGUGUUUUCUCUCGGAAAGCUAAUGCUUUACCCACNUGUGUUUUUAAGCAGAUUCUUUUUCCCUGAGAGACUUGAAAUGUACNUACGUGAAAAAGGCUAGUUGGCUGACUCAUGCUACCAGGUCAAGCGUCCAGAGAGUUUCUGCUAAACGAAUCUUUACCAGCAGUGAAUAUCUUUUUCUGCUUUUUCAAAAAACAAAACAAAAAAAGAGACUAAGAAUUUGUUAAUAAAGAGGGAAGACAUUGAACCUUUGUGUGAGAU
This 1273-nucleotide long non-coding RNA is filed under the name Salvator merianae (Argentine black and white tegu). RNAcentral's name for it is "lncRNA (ENSSMRG00000014267.1)". Lineage: Eukaryota; Metazoa; Chordata; Lepidosauria; Squamata; Teiidae. The record is from RNAcentral.